UUAAGCUGAUAAGAGCGCAGGGUGGAUGCCUUGGCACUAAGAGCCGAAGAAAGACGUGAUAAGCUGCGAAAAGCUGUGGGGAGGAGCAAAUAUCCCUUGAUCCACAGAUAUCUGAAUGGGGAAACCCGGCUGAGGAAACCUCAGUCACCGUUAACUGAAUCCAUAGGUUAACGGAGGGAACCCGGUGAACUGAAACAUCUAAGUAGCCGGAGGAAGAGAAAGAAACAUCGAUUUUGUGAGUAGCGGCGAGCGAAAGCGAAAGAGCCCAAACCGCGUUGCGUGCAAUGCGGGGUUCGGACUGCAUAAGAGACCAUGGACGUUAGCAGAAUGGCACUGGAAAGACCAUCCAUAGAAGGUGAAAGACCUGUACGUGAAAAUGGAAAUGGCUCGGCAGUAUCCAGAGUAGGACGAGACACGAGAAACCUUGUCUGAAUAAGCGGGGACCACCCCGUAAGGCUAAAUACUCCUUAGUGACCGAUAGAGCAUAGUACUGUGAAGGAAAGGUGAAAAGGACCCCGGGAGGGGAGUGAAAGAGAACCUGAAACCCUGUGUUUACAAGCUGUCGAAGCACGCAAGUGCGACGGCGUACUUUUUGUAGAACGGUCCGGCGAGUUAUGAUGAGUGGUAAGGUUAAGGACUUAAGGUCCGGAGCCGAAGCGAAAGCGAGUGUUAAAAGCACGGUUGAAUCGCUUAUCAUAGACCCGAAACCGGGUGAUCUAUCCAUGUCCAGGUUGAAGCUGCCGUAAGAGGUAGUGGAGGACCGAACACACAUCCGUUGAAAAGGGUGGUGAUGAGGUGUGGAUAGGGGAGAAAUUCCAAUCGAACCCGGAGAUAGCUGGUUCUCCUCGAAAUAGCUUUAGGGCUAGCCUCGUAUUAGUUUAGCGGAGGUAGAGCACUGAAUGGUCUAGGGGGCCUCACCGCCUACCGAAACCUAUCAAACUGCGAAUGCCGGAUAAAUGAUGUGCGGGAGUCAGGCCGCGAGAGAUAAGUUCCGCGGUCAAAAGGGGAACACCCCAGAUCGUCUGCUAAGGUCCCCAAGUACGCGUUAAGUGGGAAAGGAUGUUGGAUUGCACAGACAACCAGGAUGUUGGCUUAGAAGCAGCCACACAUUCAAAGAGUGCGUAAUAGCUCACUGGUCGAGUGAUCCAGCGCCGAAAAUGUAACGGGGCUAAAACGCGACACCGAAGCAGCGGGAUGCGUAAGCAUCGGUAGAGGAGCAUUGUGUGAGGAUAGAAGCCAGAGCGGGAGCACUGGUGGACUUCACAGAAGAGAGAAUGCCGGUAUGAGUAGCGAGACCCAUGCGAGAAACAUGGGCGUCGAAGGCCCAAGGUUUCCUGGGGAAGGUUCAUCCACCCAGGGUAAGUCGGGACCUAAGCCGAGGACUGAGGUCGUAGGCGAUGGACAGCAGGUAGAGAUUCCUGCACCACUUACACUUGUUUGACGAAGCAGUGACACAGAAGGAUAGGACGAGCGCGGUGAUGGUCAACCGCGUAGGCGGCACGAGGCUGGGGAGCAGUAAAGUACACUUCCCGAGAAGGCUGAGUGCUGACAGGACCGAAAAAGAGUAGGGAAGCGUCUGAGUUCACGCUGGCGAGAAAAGCUGCUAAGGAGAGUGUGAGUGCCCGUACCGGAAACCGACGCAGGUGGGGGAGGAGAGAAUCCUGCGACGGACGGGAGAACUCUUGUUAAGGAACUCGGCAAAAUGACCCCGUAACUUCGGGAGAAGGGGUGCUUGUGAAAGCAAGCCGCAGUGAAUAGGCCCAGGCGACUGUUUAUCAAAAACACAGGUCUCUGCUAAACCGCAAGGUGAUGUAUAGGGGCUGACGCCUGCCCGGUGCUGGAAGGUUAAGAGGAGAGGUUAGCGCAAGCGAAGCUUUGAAUUGAAGCCCCAGUAAACGGCGGCCGUAACUAUAACGGUCCUAAGGUAGCGAAAUUCCUUGUCGGGUAAGUUC
RNAcentral lists this ribosomal RNA (1952 nucleotides) under human gut metagenome. Its description in RNAcentral is "bacterial LSU rRNA". It matches the Rfam family "Bacterial large subunit ribosomal RNA", at positions 3 to 1983 of the family's 2925-position model. The record is from RNAcentral.